This 3028-nucleotide ribosomal RNA is filed under the name Triticum aestivum (bread wheat). RNAcentral describes it as "partial small subunit ribosomal RNA". Lineage: Eukaryota; Viridiplantae; Streptophyta; Magnoliopsida; Poales; Poaceae. The record is from RNAcentral.
AUGGCGUACAUGACCAUUUCAUUCUCGGAGAUCAUCAUCAUAGCGCUCACGGCCGCAGCGCUUGCCACCGGUGGAGAAGCUGCUUCACCUCCAGCUCCGGCGCCGAUGGGGAUGCCGGGCUGCCACACCAUCUGCGGCAACAUAAGCGUGCCGUACCCGUUCGGCAUGGGACCGCCCAGGUGCUACUGGCCGGGGUUCAACCUCACCUGCGACAAUAGUACGACCCCGCCGCGGCUGCUGCUCGGCGGUGGCGGAGGCAUCCUACAUGUGGAGGAUUUCAGCCUCAUCGAGUCGGCGGUGCUAGUCAAACUUACCCCCGGCGACGUAAAGAUCGAUGGCGACGGCAACGGCUCAAUAUUCUCGGGAGGGCCUGACCAUGGGACCUACAACAUCAUGCUGACAGACACCUGGGUAUACGGCGCGAACGAGCUCAUCCUGCUGGGAUGCAACGUGAGAGCGAUGCUGAAACACGGCAACGCCACCGUGAGCGCCUGCUCCACCCUGUGCGGCGACGACCAACCCCAUCAGCCCAUGUGGACCGUACCGUCGAGGCUCGAGAGUAGCAUGGUUUGCACCGGACUCGGCUGCUGCCAGGCCUCCAUCGUCGCCGCCGCAGCGGCUGUCAGCGAGGUCCGGGUGCAGCUCGAGUGGUUCGGCCGGAAUCACAGUGCCGAGGAGGAACGGAUGCCCACACGCGUGUUCGUCGCCAAGGAGGGGUGGUUCGAGAAGAAACGGGUUUCCGGGCCGCUCCUACUUCAGAAGUCGUCGACCAUGGCCGGAGUUCCCGUGUGGCUGAGCUGGGAGGUCGACGCCAACAUUUCUUCUUCCCAUAGCCAUGGCCACGUCGUGUGCGAUCAGGGUACACGAGGAGGAUAUACAUGCCGCUGCGACAAUAACUACGAAGGCAACCCCUAUAUACGCGACGGAUGCCAAGAUGUCGACGAGUGUGAGUUUCAUCCGUGCCUUGAUGACGGUGUAUGUACCAAUACAGACGGAGGGUUUGACUGUGGGUGCCCACCAGGAACCCAUGGUAACAAUUCCAUACCCGGUGGCUGCGUUCCUUUUGUUUCCAUCACACAAGCGGAAGGUGGUACAUGCCAAAGGAAAUGCGGAGAUGUCAAUGUACUGUACCCGUUUGGCAUCGGGCCGUCCCACUGCUAUCGGCCAGGCUUCAACCUCACCUGCGACUACCCAAGCGGCAAGCCCCCGCGGCUAUUACUUGAUAGCUUUGGGAUCUUCCAAGUUGAAGAGAUCUCCCUCCCAAACACCACACUGCGUGUUACUAGCUCAUACGCCGUCAUCGAAGCUAACUCCAAAAAUAACUUUGGUUAUGAUUUCAAUGAACAUUUCACAAGCCGAGGGGACGUGCUCUACUCAUUGUCUACCUGUAAUGAGCUCAUCUUCUCAGGGUGUAACGUUCAGGCGACGCUACAUGGGAUUGACAAUGAUGCGUCCAUCAUCAGCGGCUACACCAGCUUCUGCUCCGAGAGCGAUGUCAGCGCCGGAAGGGUGCCGAUUGUGAGAAACAAGAAUUGCUACGGCAUCGGUUGUUGCCAGGCACGCAUUUCUGAGUCCUUGGAUGGCAUGCCUAGCAUGUUGAGCCUCAAGUUUGCCGACAUGAACAAUUUCCCGGAUAACAUGGCGCGACCCCCGUAUGCCCUGAUAGCGGAGGAGGGGUGGUUCGACAAUCGUCUCGUCUCCGACCAACAGACGCGUGCGCUUCAAAAUAAAUUGAGAUUUGCACCAAAGGUUCCUAUUGUUGUAGAAUGGAAGGUGCUACCAUCUGAAUCAGUAGGCUUACAUGACUUGCGUGAGCAUGUGAAGUCGUCGGCGGGUCUAAACUGCACUAUGGACGUAGCUGCUAACAUCUGCAAGAGCAAGUAUAGCAGGUGCAUACCAGCUGGGACGAACACAGGCUAUUAUUGCCAUUGUUGGGAGGGCUACCAAGGCAACCCCUAUGAACCUCAUGGAUGCAAAGGCGACCACAUCUCAUCUAAAGAAAGUAUGAUCAUAACAUUGGAAGAGCUAGAGAAGGCAACACGCAAUUUUGACAGUGAUCUUGUGGUUGGUGGUGGAGGGCAUGGUACCGUUUACAAAGGAAUUUUAUCAAACCAACGUAUUGUAGCCAUCAAGAAACCAAAGAAGGUGGUUCAGAAGGAGAUUGAUGAGUUUAUAAAUGAGGUUGCUAUCUUAUCACAAAUCAAUCAUAGGAAUGUUGUAAACUCUUUGGUUGCUGCCUUGAAACUGAAGUCCCAAUGUUGAUCUAUGAUUUCAUAUCCAACGGAACACUUUAUGAGCAUCUUCAUGUCGAAGGACCAAGAUCAUUAUCGUGGGGUGACAGACUUCGUAUAGCCAUUGAAACAUCAAAAUCUUUGGCAUAUCUUCACUCAGCCGCUGCAAUACCUAUCAUCCAUAGAGAUGUCAAGUCUGCUAACAUACUUUUGGAUGAUACUCUAACAGCAAAGCUAGCAGACUUUGGAGCAUCAAGGUACAUUCCCAUGGAGAAAUCUGGUUUAGAGACAAGGGCUCAAUGUACAAGAGGAUACUGGGACCCGAUGUACUUUUACACUGGGCACCUCACGGAGAAAAGUGAUGUUUACAGUUUUGGGGUUGUCCUUGUGGAACUGCUAACCAGGCACAAACAUCUUCAUAUUUGUCCUCAAAUGACAAGAGUCUUGUUGUACAUUUUGUUACUUUGUUUGCGGAAGGGAAUUUGCCCCAUAUAUUAGACCCACAAGUCAUCGAGGAAGGAGGCAAAGAAGUCGAAGAAGUGGCUGCUAUUGCCAUAGCAUGUGUAAAAUUAAGUGGAGAGGAUCGUCCAACCAUGAGGCAAGUGGAGUUGACACUAGAAGGCGUCCGUACAUCUGAGGGGCAUGUUUUACAUAAGGCGGUGGUUGAGGAAGUUCACAAUAAUGAUAUUGAAGUAGGUGUCCAAUCUAAUAAAUCAGUUAGAAAAGAUAAUGAGGGGUCAACAAGCCGGUAUAGUAUGGAAGAAGAGUUCAUACUAUCUGCAAGUUGUCCUCGGUAG